GCAAGUUAAAGGUAGCUGGAUGGAUUCCGUUAUCAAGAAAAAGCCUAUGGUCCAAGGGAUCAUCAACUGGACCUAGCACUACUUCUGAUGCUAUUCUGGAGAGUCUCCUGGCCCU
This is a long non-coding RNA of Python bivittatus (Burmese python), 115 nucleotides long. RefSeq lists it as uncharacterized. Lineage: Eukaryota; Metazoa; Chordata; Lepidosauria; Squamata; Pythonidae. The record is from RefSeq and is a predicted model, not a curated record.